This 419-nucleotide ribosomal RNA is filed under the name uncultured prokaryote. RNAcentral's name for it is "partial 16S ribosomal RNA". It matches the Rfam family "Archaeal small subunit ribosomal RNA", at positions 455 to 873 of the family's 1478-position model. The record is from RNAcentral.
GUGUCAGCCGCCGCGGUAAUACCGGCAGCUCGAGUGAUGACCGAUUUUAUUGGGCCUAAAGCGUCCGUAGCUGGCCGCGCAAGUCCAUCGGGAAAUCCGCACGCCCAACGUGCGGGCGUCCGGUGGAAACUGUGCGGCUUGGGACCGGAAGACCCGACGGGUACGUCCGGGGUAGGAGUGAAAUCCCGUAAUCCUGGACGGACCACCGAUGGCGAAAGCACGUCGGGAAGACGGCUCCGACAGUGAGGGACGAAAGCUAGGGUCUCGAACCGGAUUAGAUACCCGGGUAGUCCUAGCCGUAAACGAUGUCUGCUAGGUGCGACGCUGACUACGAGUCAGUGUUGUGCCGUAGGGAAGCCGCUAAGCAGACCGCCUGGGAAGUACGUCCGCAAGGAUGAAACUUAAAUGAAUUGUCGGGG